Molecule: long non-coding RNA, 14950 nt
Filed under: Theobroma cacao (cacao)
Lineage: Eukaryota; Viridiplantae; Streptophyta; Magnoliopsida; Malvales; Malvaceae
Description: long non-coding RNA (TCAC_LNC000720)
Source: RNAcentral
GAGGUAUUUCAAAUUUCAUUAAAAGAUCUGCCUGCAUCUUCAAAGAAGGAUGGAUGCUCCACAAGGUCAAGUCAGACAUUGAAGGAAUCAUAAGCAGAAUCUCUUACUUGAGUCAACGGUUACAGGUCUAUGGCAUAAAACAACUAACAGAUGGAGCAAGCUCAAGUGCUUCAUCCAGGAGGCAACAGUUAAGGCAGUCUUAUCCUCGUAUGGUGGAAACCAAUGUUGUUGGGUUGGAUAAUGACAUAAAAAAAUUGGUCUCGGUUCUUGUAGACAACGAAAGUUACAGAGUUGUUUCCAUAUGUGGCAUGGGUGGUCUGGGAAAGACUACUCUGGCUAAGAAGGUUUACCAUCAUCCUCAAGUAAGAGAUCAUUUCAAGUACUUUGUUUGGGCGUACAUUUCUCAGCAAUGCGAGGAAAGAACCGUGUGGGAAGGAAUUUUAUCCAGCCUAAAUCCUAAAUAUGAGAAGGGUGGGAUAUUGCCCAAAUUGGGCGAUCAAGAUCUGGCUAAAAACUUGUAUGAAUUCCUGAAAGAAAACAAAUGCCUAGUGGUACUCGAUGACAUUUGGAAAGCUGAAGAUUGGGAUGCUAUUAAGCCUGCCUUCCCAAUGGAGGAGGAGACAGGUAGCAAAAUACUGCUCACCUCUCGUAACAAGGAUGUAGCUUGGCACGCGGAUCCAAGAGGUUUCCUGCACGAACUACAGCUCUUAACAGAUGAAGACGGUUGGAAAUUGUUCCAACAUAUAUGUGAUUCUGCAGGUAAUAUAUAUCUUAGCUCACUUUAUAAUUUUAAAUUUUGGGUCAAAUAUGUGCAUUUCAUUCUCAUUUCAUAUUAAUUUUUUACAAUGUAAAGAAAAAAGAAAUGUAUCAUUUUAAUUUGUAUAGCAUAUGCACUCUCGAAAUGCCCCAACAUUCAAUUUUUCUCAAGAUGUUAUUAUUAGUUCUAGCCAUACUUAUGAGAUUUCUAUUGAUCUAUAGAUGUAUACCUUUAUUUUUUGUUCUUUCUUGUAAAACUUCUCUUCAAGAUUUCUUUAAGCAAUUUCUGCAAAGUAAAAAUACCCAAUAUUCUUCUAUAAGAAAAACAAAAAGAAAUAUUUUAUUGUUAUUUUUUUGGCAACAUAUAUUAAUUAGGAUGUUUGUUUAUUUCUGGGCUAUAUAUGAUGACUUUUAUUGCUAGUUUAAGUUUUUGCUAUAGUAUGUUAAUUUGAGAUUGUAUAUAUCAAUAUAGUUUUCUUGUUCCCUGUUUUUUGCCAGACUAUGUAAUUGAGGAAAAAAUGGAAGAGUUGGGGAAGGACAUGGUUAAACAGUGUGCUGGGUUGCCAUUAGCCAUUGUUGUUCUAGGAGGAGUUUUGGUUACAAAGCAUUCAUUAAAUGAUUGGCAAAUAGUGCAGGAAAAUUUGAAGUCAUACUUAAGGAAAGAUAGAAGUAAAAAAAAACGGAAAGAUGGAGGUUGGGGAAUCCAUGAAGCAAUAGCUUUAAGUUAUGGCAAUUUGCCACCCUAUUUAAAACCAUGCUUCUUGUAUUUGAGUGUUUUCCCGGAAGAUUACGAGAUUUCUGUUGGUAAAUUGGUCAAAUUAUGGGUGGCAGAAGAUAUUGUGCCAUUAGAAGAAAGUGAAGAAGAUGGAGAAGAAAUGAUGGAAGAUGUGGCAGAAGGUUACUUAAAUGAGCUUGUAGAAAGAUACAUGGUGCUAGUGGGAAAACGAGAUGCAAACUCAAAGAUCAAAACAUGCCGGAUGCAUGAUCUUAUCAGAGAUUUCUGCUUGUUGAAAGCAAAACAAGAAAAUUUCAUUUGCGUUCUUGAUUGUCUUCAAAUGGAGCAAGCUGAUGUCAGCAGCUUGUCCCCUCCAAUUGGUAAAUUUCGCAGGAUUGGCAUUAAUGAUUUGAAUCUGAUAAAUGGGAUUACAAACCCACAUCUCCGAUCUGCAUUGUUCUUUGAUCAAAACUUUUUGGGAGAGUUUAAGGAAAGGUCUUAUGUCAUCAAAUGGCUGGUGAAAAUAGAAGAUAGCAUAAAUAGUACUAUUGUUAAGGGUACUUUGUUGGCAUUUUUAAUCCCUUUUUUAGUAUGUGAGUUAAGGCAUAAAACUCGAGGGUUAACGAGACACAUUUGCAACAAUUUCAAAUUGCUCAGAAUCCUAGAUUUUGCAGAUGCAGAUAUUCCACUUGUCUGCAUAUUAUUAAGUGAUAUAGGUAGUCUCAUCCAUUUGAGAUUUUUGAGUCUUGGGAACUGUGCUUUUGUGGCAAUGUUGCCUUCAUUUAUAAGCAAAUUAAGGUGCUUGCAAAGCUUGGAUCUAAGAGAUUGUAUUGGGGUUUAUGUACCUAAUGUUUUAUGGAAAUUGGAGCGGUUGAGACAUUUAUAUCUCCCUGAUCAGGUUUGUGCGAGAACCAAAUUGAAAUUGGAUACUUUGAAAAAUCUGCAAACGCUUGUGAAUUUCAACACCAAAAAUUGUUAUCUUAAAAAUAUUUGUUACAUGAAAUAUCUUAGAGAGUUGAUGAUAACUGUUCCUUUUAUUGUUGAAAACUUUAGAGAAGACUUGAAUUUGAAUCCACCGAUCAUCACAAGCAAGCAUCUUCGAUCCUUAUCCAUUUCAAAAAAUAAAAGUACAGAUCCAAGGCAUUUGACAUACCUGCUCUCUAGCUGCCUUAAUAUCCGUGAGUUGCAUUUAUCUGUCGAGAUAAGGAAGUUACCUCAGAACAUCCCUUCAAAUAUUGCUCACAUUUCCUUGGAUUGGGCUAGACUCAGUGAAGAUCCAUUGCCAACACUAGAAAAGCUACCUAAUCUAAGGAUUCUUGAAUUAGGACGAGAUGCGUUCCUCGGAGAGGUGAUGAUUUGUUCCGCCCAAGGUUUUCCUAUGCUCAACUCUUUGAGUAUUUUUUUGCAAGCAAAUUUAGAGGAGUUGAGGGUGAGUGAGGGAGCUAUGCCGAAUCUACACCAUCUGAUGAUUGCAAAUUGUAGAAACUUGAAGAUGCUGCCAAACGAGUUGAGGUUCAUCACAACCCUCAAAGAAUUGAAGAUCGAAAAGAUGCCAAAAACAUUCAAAGAUAAACUGGUUGAAGGAGGAGAAGAUUCAUACAAAGUCCAACAUGUGCCUUCUAUCAUAUUUCAAAAUUGUGAUUAUUGAAUUAUGAUCAUCAGGUAAUCUUUUAUUACCUAUUUCUAAGCUUAUUUUCUUUUGAAAUUAAAGAAUUGAAAUAGGAUUGAAUUAUGACCAUCAAAAUUUUUCUUUGGGUUAUUUUCUCGAGAAAAAUUUAUGUUAGAAAUUGAUAUUGUGAUUGAUUUCCAUUUUCUUAAGAAAAGAAAAGACAAUAUUUGCCACGUCAUCAACACUAUCCGUUGUGGUAUUAACUGAAACAGAACAUCGGUCAUUUCGUCACUUGAUAACCUCCUCCUCUCCUUUCUCAUUCCCACUCUAUCCUCUCUUUUCUUUUCCUGGUUUCUAUGUGCUUCCGUCAAUGGAUUCCAACACAAUCUUCUUCUCUUCAAAAUUCCAAACCCCAACUCUCCCACCUUCUUCUCCAUUGCGCUCUUGCACUAACCUCCCUCUAAUCAGCCGAUAAUUCCUUGGUUUCAAUCACUCUCUCAGGCCCCCAGGCGGUGGUUCUUCUCUCAGAAAGAAACACAAAAACUUGGGGUUUCUGCGCCUCCACUCUCCUCUCUUUAUCCUCAGAGCUUCUAUCGACUCCAAUUUGGUUCUCGUUGUCAUCGGUGUCACCGCAUUAUCGGCUUUAUAAGUCUGCAAGCACGCAUUAGAGCUAAUAUCUUUACUCUACUUGUUUCUAGGUGAAGUUGUGAAAAGGAAGCAACAAGAAUGUUUCUCUUGAAAGAUAUCCCCAAUUUGCAGAAGCUCUUUUUAGCUGUGUGGAGACUGGAGUGGAUUGGUGAGAUGAAGCCUAAGACUCUACUUGUAUUGAUAUGUUAUGUUGUAGAAGUAUUGAAUCUUUGUUUAUGACUUGUGUUGAUUUGUUAUAUAUGUUGUAGACGUAUUGGAUCUUUUUUUUCGACUUGUAUUGGUAUGUUAUGUUGUAGAAGUAUGGACUCUUUGUUUAUGACUUGUAUUGAUUUGUUAUGUUGUGGAGUGCGGACUCUUUGUUUUAUGGUUUGGCAAAUAAGAGAAAAAAAUCCAUCCAUGCCUGUGGUCUACCUGUACCGUAACAGGGAACUGCUUGUUCUUUCUAGCAAUACAUAAUCGAAAAUAGCUUCCUAUUUUGGGCCUAAUGGCUUUGAGCCCAAUGGAGCUUAAAUCAAGACCCAUAACUCGGUAGCCUCCGUUUGAAACGAACGUGUGGUUAACGAUGGGCCCAAUAUGUCGGUUACCGAUUUUUUUUAUAUAAGAGGACCCUACCUAACUCAAUCGAAAUCAAAAGGCGAAAUGGGAAACGGCAAUUCCUUCCUAGUUCAGCCCAGUUUUUUGCAACUUGUCUCGAAAGCUUUCAAAAGUCUUAAUGAGCAAGCCCAUUUCUUCUUUUUUUUUGCCAUUUUUGGAGUGAGGUUUGGGUCUGGACAACUUUAACUAUUAUAAGAUGACAUGGAUUGAUCUUUUAAGUCCCCUCUCUACAAUUAACCAUAUCUCAAUGAGACAAGAUUGUAAAGGAGUAAAUAUGCACAAACUAAAAUUAAAUAUUUACCCAAACAAAAAGGAAACCUAGAUUAAGUAAAGUUUAACUAUCCAUUGUACAUUUCUUAGAGUAAUGAAACCAAAAUUAAAGAAAAACAGGAGUGGACGAAAAUAAACUUUUACUUUUUCCCUCAUGAAGGGAUAGUAGGUUUCUUCAGUGAACAACCUUUAUUUUUUUUCUACAUUCCCAUUCUUUACUUAAACCACAGGUGGGAAAAGAGAAUGAACGGAUUCCUUCAAAUAUUAUUUUCUUGUUCUAUUGGCUCAUUUCACAGGACAAAGGUCAUCAAUUAAAUCUUUGUCCAUGUUAGCUGUUUUUCCCAAAUCCUUUAUGGAGAACUCCUUGGAUGAUCAAAUCUUUGUUGAUUGCAAUGUAGCUAUGUCUUUUCUUGUUAACAAUAUGUCAUUAACAUACAACACUAGAAAAAUGACAACACUUUCUUGUUUUCUUGUAUACAUAAGGAUUAUCUUUUUUUUUUUUAAUUUUUUUGAAUUAUCAUAUUUGUUUAUGAUUAUAUUCUCGAAAUACAUGUUUAAAUAUUUAUUAGUAUUAAUAUUAAUAAAAAUGAUCUAAUUCGUAAGUAUAUAAGAUUUCUAAUUGUAUCAAAUGACAUUCAUUAAAAAUAUUUUUAAAUAUAAAAAUUAAUAAUAUUUAUCUAAUGUAUAAAAAUUAAUAAAUAUUUGCGAAUAUGUCUUACUAUGAAAUUUCUCUUCUUUGGAAGAAGAUCUGGUUAGGUUAUGCUCCUUGUAGAGUUUAGAUAUUUGAUUGAUAAUAAUAUGUGAGAAAAAAUAAUAGUGAAAGUUGGGCUAGUUAAAUGGAAAUUAAUUGGUGAGAUCAAAUGAUGUGCGUGUUACGUAAAAAACACCUUGAAACUGUCAAUCAUCCUUUUUUUAUUUGUGAUGAGUCAUGGUACAUACGGGGUCUAUGGCUUUCCGAUUGGAAUUAUAGUUGGCUUAUCUCCUUCGUAAUUCUAAAAGCUUUUUUCUAGCUUGGGCUUCAGUGUGUCUUGAUAAGGAUAAAGUGAAGAUAUGGAUAUUAGCUUCCUAUGCAAUUUCAUGGUCGAUGUGGUUAUUUAGAAAUGUUAUUGUUUUAAUGAGAAGAGUUGGGAUGCCAAGCAAUUACAUGAUUUGAUCAAAUCAAGGAUUGCUCUUUGGAGUAAACCCUAGUGGCCAGAGUUGUUAGAGACCUAUGAAGAUACAUUCAGAUGGUCGAGUCUUGUGUCCAUUGCUCCAAACCAGCCAGAGAGACACUGACACGGGAGGCUCCAAUGUUGAGUUGGGUUAAGUUUAAUGUGGAUGGCGCAUUAGUUACGAAUCCGGAAAAACAUUUUUUAGUGAAAGUCAUUCAAUUCAUUUAGAAUUUUUAUCUUCAAAUUGGAUAAAUUUUAUUAAUAUUUAUGAUAAAAGAAUUUACAAUGACAAUUUAGGAAUAUAAUAAAUAAAAAUUUUUAAAUAUUUUCCAACAUUUAUACUUUUGUAGUACACGUAAAUACUUCAUUUAUUCUUUUGAAAUAAUAAUUAUAUGUCGAUACAUAUGUUUCUAAAAUAUAAAGUUAAAGCAUAAAUAAUUGAAAUUUUGUAACAUCAAUCUACAAAUUAUUCAAAUAUUAUUAGAAUAAGGAAAAGUAUUCUUUAAUGAAAAUCAUUCAAUGCAAUUAGAAUUUUUAUUUAUAAAUUGGAUAAAUUUUAUUUAUACUUUUAAUGAAAAACAGCCAUUUGAUGCAAUUAGAAUACUUAUUUACUAAUUAUAUAAAUCUUAAUAAAAAUAAUUAAAUUAAUAAUUUAAAAAUAUAAUAAAUAAAUAUAACUAUCUUCAUUAAAUAAAAUUUUUACAAUAUCCGUAUUUAUGAUUUUGUUUUUCUGUUAAAAUAAAUAGAGAAGAACAAUUUAUCCUAUUUCCCUCAAAUUCACUUUUCAACUUCUACUAAAUCCAAGCAAAAGUCUUUUUUUUUUUUCUCUACGCAGCGCUUGGUCCUGCUCACUUUUCCGCCCAGCUAAGCAUUAAUAAAGAGAACACAGGGCUAUGUAUGUCUGGUCGCUGUGGCAUCAAUCAGCAUCGAAAUUAAUGACUAAGACAAAGGUAGGUGAGAAACGAAUGGCUAAGAAAAAAGUACGUAGAAAACUAAAGGCUGAGAAAAAGGUAGAUAAGAAAAUAGAGUGAACAACCCAUGUUUGAUUAGGGUGUCACUUUCUUAUAUACAGUGUUGCAAUUUUAGUUCAUAAUUUUGUUUCAAGUGUGUCAGUAACAUCUGAUAUUAUAACUUUAACAUCAUCAAUUUGAAUAUUUUAUGCCUUUAAGGGGCAAAAUUAUUUUAUUAUGGGAAACUAAAAUUAUUGCAAAAUGCUCUAGACACAAUACAUGAAUUUUUGUUUAACGAUAAUAAUCAUGUGCAAUAAAUAUGAAUACUUAUUUUAUGUAUUCUAAUGGUUUUUUUUUUUAAUUUAUGGUUUCAUAUCAUAUGAUGAUUUCUUUCAAGUUCAUAAUCUUUUUAUUGAUCUAGCUAAUUUUAAAAUUUAUUUUUAUAUUAUACAAAAUCAAAAUUAUAAGAAUGAUGCAAGUUGAUGAAGUAUGAUUUUGAAUAACUUUAUUAAGGUUAGUAAAUCAAAAUGAUCUUUUUUAUUCAAACCGAAAACAACUCGAAUCAAAAGAAAUUUGAUGUGAAAUGCUCUAAAUUCAAAGUGAUCCAAACUCAAAAUGAUUCAAAUUUUCAUUAAUUCAAAAUAACCAAACUCAAAAUGAUAUGAACCUAUAUCUGACGUGACCUGCUCAAUUAGCCAUCUCUGUAUCAAAGGCUACUAAACCCUUAUCGUAAGAUUAUUUUAACUAAUGUUGAUUUGAGUUGACCGUCAUGGUUGUUAUAAGUCGACUGAAGGGAAGCAAAUCCUUGUCCUGAAAAUUAUCCUAGAAAAUCAACCAACAAGGCCUCCCCCUCUUCCGCCCUAACUUUUUCCAUUCAGCUCUCAAGACUGAAGAGCAGCUUCGGCAAAUAUCUCCCACAGUGCCUUAUCCUGAUCCAUCAUGGUAAGAUACCAAUUCAAGCUUCCUUUCAAAUUCCAAUGCUUCAUGCUCAUUUCUCUCUCUCUCUUCCUGUCCUUUGCUUUUGCCUUUCUUGUAUUUUGUUUUAUGAUUAAAAGAUAGUGAAUUUCGUACUUACAAAAGAAAAUGAAAAGGGAUUAAGGAAAUGCUUAGGCGAUAAACUUCGCCCAGCUGCCUCCAUGUGGUAUAUUCGGCUCUCUACUAAGCUCCUUUCUAGCUACUGAAUAUUUUCAGAUCACUCCACAUAACCCAUGCACUGUCUCCUUCAAGUCUGCAGACUGGCAGUUAAAUCUAAUAUCUUUACGUUUUCCAGGUGAAAAAGAAUCUACAAGCUUGUUUCUAUUGAAAGAUAUCCCCGAUUCGCAGCAUCUCUUUAAGUUGAGUGGAGAGCGGAGUGGAUUGGUGAGAUGAAGCCUAAGACUAGACUUGUAUUCAUUUGUUAUGUUGUGUAAGUAUUGACUCUUUGUUUAUGACUUCCUCAUGGCUUGGCAGAAAAAAGGGAAAAAAAUUUAUCUGUCCCUUUGUCUAUGUAUAAGAGGGAACUGCUUGUUCUUUCUAGUAAAUAUUGUGUGGUUGGCAAUACAUCCAAACUAGCUUGCUAUUUUGGGCCUAAUGGCCUUAGGCCGAGCGGAACACAAAUCAAGAUCCGUAACUCGUUAGCGUUCGCUUCAUGUUCAUGUAACGACAAAAACACCAGAUUUUCUUUGUUGAGAGAAAGCAGGGCCUAACAUAUGGCGGAAUCUGUUGUGUCCAAUGUUGCAGCAAGACUUGAGGACUUAGUAAUUGAAGAAGCUAAAUUCUUGCGGGGCGUGGCUGAUCAAGUUAAGCAUUUGCAAAUGGAGCUCGUUUGGAUGAAGAGCUUCUUAAAAGAGGCAGAUUCGAGACAAGCUGAGAAUGAGAUGGUUCGUAUGUGGGUUGCUGAAAUUAGAGAGAUUGCUUAUGAUGCUGAGGAUGUCAUUGAAACUUUUGCUCUCAAAAUUGCAUCCAGAAGGAGGGGAGGUAUUUCGAAUUUCAUCAAAAGAUCUGCCUGCAUCUUCAAAGAGGGAUGGAUGCUCCACAAGGUCAGGUCAGACAUUGAAGGAAUCAUAAGCAGAAUCACUGACUUGGUUCGACGGUUACAGUCCUAUGGAAUAAAAGAAUUGUCAGAUGGAGCAAGCUCAAGUUCUUCAUCUAAGAGGCAACAGUUAAGGCAGUCUUACCCUCAUAUGAAGGAACCCAAUGCUGUUGGGUUGGAUAACGCCAUAAAAGAAUUGGUCUCGGUUCUUGUAGAUGAGGGAAGGCAUUUCCGCGUUGCUUCCAUAUGUGGCAUGGGUGGUCUAGGAAAGACUACUCUGGCUAAGAAGGUUUACCAUCAUGCUCAAGUGAGAAAUCAUUUCAAGCACUUUGUUUGGGCGUACAUUUCUCAGCAAUGCCAAAGAAGAACUGUGUGGAGAGGAAUUUUAUCCAGCCUAGGUCUUAUAGAUGAGAAGGGUGGGAUAUUGCUAGACAUGGGAGAUCAAGAUCUGGCUGCAAAAUUGUAUGAAUUCCUGAAAGAAAACAAAUGUCUAGUGGUACUUGAUGACAUUUGGACAACUGAAGAUUGGGAUGCUAUUAGCCCAGCCUUCCCAAUGGAGGAGGAGACAGGUAGCAAAAUACUGCUCACCUCUCGUAACAAGGAUGUAGCUUGGCAUGCAGACUCAAGAGGUUGCCUCCACGAACUACAGUUCUUAACAGAUGAAGACAGUUGGAAAUUGUUCCAACAUAUUGCGUUUCCUAGAAGUGAUUCUGCAGGUAAUAUAUAUCUUAGCUCAAUUUAUAAUUUUAAAUUUUGGGUAAAAUAUGUGCAUUAUUUCAUUCUCAUUUCAUAGAAAUUUUUUACAAUUUAAAGAAAGGAGAAAUGCAUCAUUUUAAUUUGUGUAGCAUAUGCACUCUCGAAAUGCCCCAAUAUUCAUUUGUCUCUAGAUGUUAUUAUUAGUUCUAUCCAUGCCCCAAAUUCUGAGAUUUCUAUUGAGCUCUAGAUGUUUACCUUUAUUUUUUUUCUUUCUUGUCAAAUUUCCCUUCAAAAUUUCUUUAAGCAAUUUCUGCAAUCUAAAAAUACCCAAUAUUCUUUUAUAAGAAAAACUAAAAGAAAUAUCUUAUUGUUAUUUUUUUUUGACAACAUAUAUUAAUUAGGUGUGUGUUUAUUUGUGGGCUACAUAUGAUCGAUGACUUUUAUUGCUAGUUUAAGUUUUUUCUAUAAUAUGUUAAUUCGAGAUUGUAUAUAUCAAUAUAGUUUUGUUUUUUCUAUUAUUUCCCAGGCUAUGUAAUUGAGGAAAAAAUGGAAGAGUUGGGAAAGGACAUGGUUAAACAGUGUGCUGGGUUGCCAUUAGCCAUUGUUGUUCUAGGAGGAAUUUUGGUUACAAAGCAUUCAUUAAAUGAUUGGCAAAUCGUGCAUGAAAAUGUGAAGUCAUACUUAAGAAGAGGUAGAAGUUGGGGAAUCCAUGAAGCAAUAGCUUUAAGUUAUGAUAAUUUGCCGCCUCAUUUAAAACCAUGCUUUUUGUAUUUGAGUGUUUUCCCGGAGGAUUACAAGAUUCAUGUUGGUAAAUUAAUCAAAUUAUGGGUGGCAGAAGAUAUUGUGUCACUAGCAGACAGUGAAGAAAAUGGAGAAGAAAUGAUAGAAGAUGUAGCAGAAGGCUACUUAAGUGAGCUUGUAGAAAGAUACAUGGUGCUAGUGGGAGAACGAGAUGUAAGCUCAAAGAUCAAAACAUGCUGGAUGCAUGAUCUUAUCAGAGAUUUCUGCUUGUUGAAGGCAAAACAAGAAAAUUUCACCUAUGUUCUUGAUCGUUUUCAAAUGGAGCAAGCUGAGGCUAGCAUCUUGUCCCCUUUAAUUAGUAAAGUUCGCAGGCUUGGCAUUAAUGAUUCCUUUCUGAUAAAUAGGAUUAAAAGCCCACAUCUCAGAUCUGCAUUGUUCUUUGAUCAAUACUUUGAGAGGGAGCUUUUGGAAAGGUCUACGCUCUCAAAAUGGCUGGGGGAAGAAGACUAUGGGGAAAGUUUUACUAUUGUUGAUGCAUGUUUAGAAUCGCUUCGUUGGGUCUCUUGGCUCUGUGAGUUAAGGCAUAAAACUCGAGGGUUAACGAGAUACAUUUGCAACAAUUUCAAAUUGCUUAGAAUCCUAGAUUUUGGAGAUGCGAAUAUUUUAUUUUUGCGCAUAUUAUUACUAAGUGAUAUAGGUAGUCUCAUCCAUUUGAGAUUUUUGAGUCUUGGCCGAUGUGCUUUCGCGGCAAUGUUGCCAUCAUUUAUAAGCAAACUAAGGUUCUUGCAAACCUUGGAUUUAAGAGAUUGUGUUGGGGUUUAUGUGCCUAAUGUUUUAUGGAAAAUGGAGCGGUUGAGGCAUUUGUAUCUCCCUCAAAAAAUGGUUAGUAUGAGAACCAAAUUGAAAUUGAAUACUUUAAAAAACUUGCAAACGCUUGUGAAUUUUAAUACUAAGAAUUGUUAUCUUGAAAAUAUUUACUGCAUGAAAUAUCUUAGGGAAUUGGGGAUAAGAACACCCUUCAUUGUUGAAAACUUUAAGGAGGACUCGAAUUUGAACACGCCGGUUAUCACAAGUAAACAUCUUCGAUCCUUGUCCAUUAUUAAGAAUGAUGAUGAUCACGAAAGUAUAGAUCCAAGGCAUUUGACAUACCUGCUCUCUAGCUGCCAUAAUGUCUGUGAGUUGCAUUUAUCUGCCGAGAUAAGGAAGUUACCAGAACCUCAGCACAUCCCUUCAAAUAUUGCUCACAUUUACUUGGCUAGGGCUAUGCUCGAUGAAGAUCCAUUGCCAACACUACAGAACCUACCUAAUCUAAGGAUUCUCGAAUUAGAAGAAUCUGCAUUUGUCGGAAAGGUGAUGAUUUGUUCCGCACAAGGUUUUCCUCUGCUCCACUCUUUGAGUAUUAUUUCUCAGACAAAUUUAGAGGAGUUGAGGGUGAAUGAAGGGGCAAUGCCCAAUCUACACCAUCUGAGGAUUGCAGAUUGUAGAAAGUUGAAGAUGCUGCCAAAUGAGUUGAGGUUCGUCACAACUCUCAAAGAAUUGAAGAUUGAAGGGAUGCCAAAAGCAUUCAAAGAUAAAUUGGUUGAAGGAGGAGAAGAUUCAUACAAAGUUCAACAUGUGCCUUCUAUCAUAUUUCAAAAUUGUGAUUAUUGAAUUAUGAUCAUCAGGUAAUCUUUUAUUACCCAUUUCUAAGCUUACUUUCUUUUGAAAUUAAUGAAGUGAAAUUGAUUGAUAUGAUCAACAAUAUUUUGAUAUCAAUUCCUUUUUUCAUUUGUUGUGAAAAAUUUUUCUUUAUCAAGGUAAUGCACCAUGUUCUUUCUUUCUUUUUUUUUUUGGUUCUUUCAUCAUUUACGAUCUUAAUCUCUUGAAAUUGUUCUUAGAUUACAUUUUUUGUUUUAUCAUUUAUGACUGUUCUUUCUUUUGGUCAUUUCCUCGAGAAAAAUUUUAUCUAGAAAAUUGAUAUUGUGAUUGACUUCCAUUUUCUUAAGAAAAUAAAAGACAAUGUUUGCCACGCCAGCAACACUAUCCGUUGUUGUAUUAACUGAAACAGAACAUCGAUCAUUUCGUCACUUGAUACCCUCCUCCUCUCCUUUCUCAUUCCCACUCUAUCCUCUCUUUUCUUUUCCUGUUUCCUAUUUGCUUCCGUCAAUGGAUUCCAACGCAAUCAUCUUCUCUUUAAAAUUCCAAACCCCAACUCUCCCACCUUCUUCUCCAUUGCUCUCUUCCACUAACCCCCCUCUAAUCAGCCGAUAAUUCCUUGGUUUCAAUCACACUCUCAGGCCUCCCGACGGUGCUUCUUCUCUCCGAAAGAAACACCAAAACUUGGGGUUUCUCCGCCUCCACUCUCCUCGCUUUAUCCACAGAGCUUCUGUCGACUCCAAUUUGGUUCUCAUUGUCGUUGGUGUCACUGCGCAUUAUCGGCUUUAUAAGUCUGCAAGCACUGAUUAGAGCUAAUAUCUUUACUCUACUUUUUUCCAGGUGAAGUCGUGAAAAAGAAGCCACAAAGCUUGUUUCUCUUGAACGAUAUUCCCAAUUCGCAGAAGCUCUUUUUAGUUGUGUGGAGACUGGAGUGGAUUGGUGAAUGAAGCCAAAGACUCUACUUGCAUUGAUAUGUUUAUGUUGUACCAGAAUUGACUCUUUGUUUAUAACUUGUAUUGAUUUGUUAUGUUGUACUUGUACAAGUAUUGACUCGUUGUUUGUGACUUGUAGUGAUUUGUUAUGUUGUGGAGUAUCAACUCUUGGUUUAUGAGCUCCUUGCGGUUUGGCAGAUAAAGGGGAAAAAUUCAUCUUUCCGUCCCAUUGCUCUCUAUGUAUAACAGAGAACUGCUUGUUCUUUCUAGCAACACAUCCAUCCAAAAUAGAUUGCUAUUAUGGGCCUAAUGACCCAUAACUCGUUAAACGAAUGUGUGGUUAGGGUUGGGCCGAAUAUGUCGGUUUCAGAAUUUUUAUAUUAUGGGACUCAACGCGAUCGAAAUCGAAAAGCGAAAUGGGCAACGGCAAUGCCUUCCUGGUUCAGCUCAUUUUUCAGCUACCUGUCCUAAAAGCCUUCAGAAUUCUCCACUUAUACCGUAAAUUUUCUACUAAUUCAAUUCAUUAGAAAAUCCCAGUUAUUCCAUAGUUUUAAUUCCUUCCCUGACUGUCGACUUGACGUAAGCUUCAAUAUUAGAGUUUUUAACUUCAGUUUUGUGUUUCCAUUUCUCUUUUAUUUUCUUUUAUUUCCCAAUCGCAAUUAUUUGAAAUUAUUAUUAAUUUUUGGUCCAGAAUUUAAAUUAAUAUUAUCAUUCAUAAUUCAAAGCGUUUGGCUGGAUCAUCCAUGUUCUGAUGUCUGUUUGUCUAUUCAUUUGUCUUGCAUAAAAAUUUUCUUUUAUUAAGAUAGUGCUCUAUGUUAAUCUUUCUUUCUUCCUUGUUUUAUAUUUGUUGAGAUUAUUUUAAUAUCAAAUUUUAUUAAGGCCCUUUUCUCUUCUAGAAAAAUUUUGCCUCAGAAAUUGAUUUAAUAAUUUUCCAUUUCUUUUAAAAAACCGAAAAGACAAUAUUUAUCAACGGAGCAUGUCUUUUUAACUUUCACUAUUUUCUUCUUUUUUUUAGUUGUUUUUUAUUUUUUAUUAUUUAGAGUGAGAUUUGAGUGUGGACUAUUAUAAGAUGACGUGAAUAGAUCUUUAAGUCCCCUUUCUACAACUAACCAUAUCUUAAUGAGACAAGAUUUAAACUAAAAUUAAAUAUUUACCCAAAACAAAAAAGAAACCUAGACUAAGUAAAGUUUAACUAUCUCUUGUAUUUCUUAAGAGUAAUGAAAGAAAAACAGGAGUGUACGAAAAUAAACUUUUACUUUUUCCCUCAUAAAGGGAUAGUAGGUUUCUUCAGUGAACAACCUUUACUUUUUUCUACAUUCCCAUUCUUUACUUAAACCACAGGGGGUGGGAAAAGAGAAUGAGCGGAUUCCUUCGAAUAUUAUUUUCUUGUUCUAUUGACUCAUUUCACAGGACAAAGGUCAUCAAUUAAUUGUAGCCCACGUCACUUCAAUCUUGCAUGCAACUUAAUCGAUCAAAGCAAUGGAGCCAAUAUAUAUUUCUCUUGCCGCCAGGUCAUUGCUUCUAAUGGUAGUUUAAGAAUUUAUUCCCCAAGGAAUUUUGGACGAAGCUCACUUUUGUUGGGGAAUCGCUGCUUAGACCGUUCCACAAGCAAUCAUAUUAUUCUAAAGUUGCAAUCGAGAAAUAUAAUAAUGGUAAUCGCAGUUAUAAAUUGAUGAAAAUAAACACACAGAUUUCACCAGGCUUUCUUUGUUGAGAGAAAAAAGAACGUAACAUAUGGCGGAAGCUGUUGUGUCCAAUGUUGCAGCAAGACUUGGCGAGUUAGUAACUCAAGAAGCAAAAUUCUUGUGGGGGGUGGAGGACCAAGUUAAGCGUUUGCAAACGGAGCUCGUUUGGAUGAAGAGCUUCUUGAAAGAGGCAGAUUCGAGACAAGCUGAAGAUGAGAGGGUUCGUUUGUGGGUUACUGAAAUUAGAGAUAUUGCUUAUGAUGCUGAGGAUGUCAUUGAAACGUUUGCUCUCAAAAUUGCAUCCAAAAGGAGGGGAGGUAUUUCCAAUGUCAUCAAAAGAUCUGCUUGCAUCUUCAAAGAAGGAUGGAUGCUCCACAAGGUCAGGUCAGACAUUGAAGGAAUCAUAAGCAGAACCACUGACUUGGUUCGACGGUUACAGUCCUAUGGAAUAAAAGAAUUGUCGGAUGGAGCAAGCUCAAGUUCUUCAUCUAAGAGGCAACAGUUAAGGCAGUCUUACCCUCAUAUGAAGGAACCCAAUGCUGUUGGGUUGGAUAACG